CCUCUCGUAGUUCAAUGGACAGAACGCGAGAUUGCGGAUCUCGUAAUCCAGGUUCGAAUCCUGGCGGGAGGA
This 72-nucleotide transfer RNA is filed under the name Candidatus Yanofskyibacteriota bacterium. RNAcentral's name for it is "Candidatus Yanofskybacteria bacterium tRNA-Arg". It matches the Rfam family "tRNA". Rfam says of the family: Transfer RNA (tRNA) molecules are approximately 80 nucleotides in length. Their secondary structure includes four short double-helical elements and three loops (D, anti-codon, and T loops). Lineage: Bacteria; Candidatus Yanofskyibacteriota. The record is from RNAcentral.